Molecule: transfer RNA, 86 nt
Filed under: Candidatus Woesearchaeota archaeon
Lineage: Archaea; Nanobdellati; Candidatus Woesearchaeota
Description: tRNA-Leu
Rfam family: tRNA
About the family: Transfer RNA (tRNA) molecules are approximately 80 nucleotides in length. Their secondary structure includes four short double-helical elements and three loops (D, anti-codon, and T loops). Further hydrogen bonds mediate the characteristic L-shaped molecular structure. tRNAs have two regions of fundamental functional importance: the anti-codon, which is responsible for specific mRNA codon recognition, and the 3' end, to which the tRNAs corresponding amino acid is attached (by aminoacyl-tRNA synthetases). tRNAs cope with the degeneracy of the genetic code in two manners: having more than one tRNA (with a specific anti-codon) for a particular amino acid; and 'wobble' base-pairing, i.e. permitting non-standard base-pairing at the 3rd anti-codon position.
Source: RNAcentral
GUGGGAGUGGCAGAGUCUGGUCAAAUGCGCAGGACUUAAGAUCCUGUGGCUUAGUGCCUGCGAGGGUUCAAAUCCCUUCUCCCACA